This 1407-nucleotide ribosomal RNA is filed under the name Triticum aestivum (bread wheat). RNAcentral describes it as "partial small subunit ribosomal RNA". The record is from RNAcentral. Lineage: Eukaryota; Viridiplantae; Streptophyta; Magnoliopsida; Poales; Poaceae.
AUGGCAAUCGUUCCAGCAAUGCCGACAAGCACACCUUUGCAGACUAGCACAAGCAACACUCAAGCAGAUGAAACAACCGUCGAUACUGAAGUGAAUGAUGAAGCCGAUGACGAAGCACAAGGGGAUGAAGAUGGUGGGCAAUCAGAAAUCAUAGUACCUCAGGCACCGUAUCUUGGGCAGAGAUUUGAUUCAUUUGAAAAUGCAAAGGAAUUCUACCAGAUAUAUGCAAAGUUCCAUGGGUUUGUGGUCAACACCGAAUACCACAGGAAAAUUAAAAAAACUAACGAGUACAGCAGAGGUGAGAUCAGGUGCUACAAGGCACGAAGAAACAAGAAGGGCAAAGGUGAUGCGCCUGUUGUUCCGGAACGAAAGAGAGGUAUCAUUGUCAAGGUGGAAUGCCCUGUCCGAUGUAAGCUGAACGUAGAUGGAGCACAGUGGGUGGUCAAUGAAUAUUUUGACGAGCACAAGCACGAGCUAAUAAAGAAGUUUGGCCUGGUAAAAUUUCUGACCGCCCACAGGGGAUUCACCCCCCUCGUGAAGAAAUUCAUAAAGCUGCUACAUGAUUGUAAUGUCGGUCCAUCAAGAAUGGUCCAGAUACUCUCCCUCAUCCACAGCAAAAAUGGGACUCUGAGUAGCAUGCCCUACAUACCGACAGACGUCACAAACCUAAAGGCAAGAUUCCAAGAAGAAAUAAAGCGUGCCAGCAUGUACACGGCUUUCCAGGUGGACGAACAUACGUUCAAGGUGUGUUCUAUCAUGGGCAUGUCGGAUUCAGAACCUGAAGACCCGGACAAGGGAAGGAACUACUUUGUGAAGGCAUCGAUAAGCGAAGGCGAAUACUACUGCCAAUGCUGCAAAUUCAAACGCGACGGGAUUGUGUGUUGUCACAUACUAAAAGUAAUGGACAUGAACACGGUGACACAAAUGCCCUGCCAUUUCAUAAGGCGGCGAUGGACUUGGGACACUGAUGACGCAUUGGCGCCACAAACAUCAAACGCAGUUUUGGCUGUGCAUGACGAGAGACCAGAGUCAACCAUGGAAGCCGUGAGGCACGUUGCGUUGACAAAGAACUAUGGUGAACUAAUUGAUGAAGCGUGCAAGAGUGAUGAGACAGCGAGGGUCGCAGAAAAACACAGGAAGGCCCUCAAAAGAGAGCUUGAUGAGAUCAAGAAGAGGAAAGCUGAGGAAACCUUACACAGGUUUCCCCGCACAUCAAGUGUGCCUUCAUCCACGGGGCCAUCAUCUGAAAACUCGGAGGUAGAAUCUGGAACAGCAAGCACACAAACCCAGGUUAGGAACCCGCCCCGUUCCAUCACAAAAGGGCAUCCAAAAGAGACAAGAUACAAAUCGGGACUGGAGAUUCAAGCAAAACACAAGAAACCAAAGAAAGGGGCGGGCAAUCCGUAA